This 930-nucleotide ribosomal RNA is filed under the name Halomonas elongata. Its description in RNAcentral is "bacterial SSU rRNA". It matches the Rfam family "Bacterial small subunit ribosomal RNA", at positions 56 to 979 of the family's 1533-position model. The record is from RNAcentral. Lineage: Bacteria; Pseudomonadati; Pseudomonadota; Gammaproteobacteria; Oceanospirillales; Halomonadaceae.
UGCAGUCGAGCGGAACGAUCCUAGCUUGCUAGGAGGCGUCGAGCGGCGGACGGGUGAGUAAUGCAUAGGAAUCUGCCCGGUAGUGGGGGAUAACUUGAGGAAACUCAAGCUAAUACCGCAUACGCCCUACGGGGGAAAGCAGGGGCUCUUCGGACCUUGCGCUAUCGGAUGAGCUUAUGUCGGAUUAGCUGGUUGGUGAGGUAACGGCUCACCAAGGCGACGAUCCGUAGCUGGUCUGAGAGGAUGAUCAGCCACAUCGGGACUGAGACACGGCCCGAACUCCUACGGGAGGCAGCAGUGGGGAAUAUUGGACAAUGGGGGCAACCCUGAUCCAGCCAUGCCGCGUGUGUGAAGAAGGCCCUCGGGUUGUAAAGCACUUUCAGCGAGGAAGAAUGCUUGUCGGUUAAUACCCGGCAAGGGAGACAUCACUCGCAGAAGAAGCACCGGCUAACUCCGUGCCAGCAGCCGCGGUAAUACGGAGGGUGCGAGCGUUAAUCGGAAUUACUGGGCGUAAAGCGUGCGUAGGCGGCUUGAUAAGCCGGUUGUGAAAGCCCCGGGCUCAACCUGGGAACGGCAUCCGGAACUGUCAGGCUAGAGUGCAGGAGAGGAAGGUAGAAUUCCCGGUGUAGCGGUGAAAUGCGUAGAGAUCGGGAGGAAUACCAGUGGCGAAGGCGGCCUUCUGGACUGACACUGACGCUGAGGUACGAAAGCGUGGGUAGCAAACAGGAUUAGAUACCCUGGUAGUCCACGCCGUAAACGAUGUCGACUAGCCGUUGGGGUCCUCGAGACCUUUGUGGCGCAGUUAACGCACUAAGUCGACCGCCUGGGGAGUACGGCCGCAAGGUUAAAACUCAAAUGAAUUGACGGGGGCCCGCACAAGCGGUGGAGCAUGUGGUUUAAUUCGAUGCAACGCGAAGAACCUUACCUACC